GGGGGAUAUUGCACAAUGGGGGAAACCCUGAUGCAGCGACGCCGCGUGAGUGAAGACGGCCUUCGGGUUGUAAAGCUCUGUUGAGGGGGACGAUAAUGACGGUACCCCUUUAGAAAGCCACGGCUAACUACGUGCCAGCAGCCGCGGUAAUACGUAGGUGGCGAGCGUUGUCCGGAAUUACUGGGUGUAAAGGGAGCGUAGGCGGGGGUUUAAGUUGGAUGUGAAAUACCGCGGCUCAACCGCGGGGCUGCAUCCAAAACUGGACUUCUUGAGUGAAGUAGAGGCAAGCGGAAUUCCUAGUGUAGCGGUGAAAUGCGUAGAUAUUAGGAGGAACACCAGUGGCGAAGGCGGCUUGCUGGGCUUUUACUGACGCUGAGGCUCGAAAGCGUGGGGAGCAAAC
Molecule: ribosomal RNA, 400 nt
Filed under: uncultured bacterium
Lineage: Bacteria
Description: bacterial SSU rRNA
Rfam family: Bacterial small subunit ribosomal RNA
Source: RNAcentral